This 468-nucleotide ribosomal RNA is filed under the name uncultured bacterium. RNAcentral describes it as "partial 16S ribosomal RNA". It matches the Rfam family "Bacterial small subunit ribosomal RNA", at positions 28 to 507 of the family's 1533-position model. The record is from RNAcentral.
GACGAACGCUGGCGGCGUGCUUAACACAUGCAAGUCGAACGGAAAGGCCCUGCUUUUGUGGGGUGCUCGAGUGGCGAACGGGUGAGUAACACGUGAGUAACCUGCCCUUGACUUUGGGAUAACUCCAGGAAACUGGGGCUAAUACCGGAUAGGAGCUCCUGCUGCAUGGUGGGGGUUGGAAAGUUUCGGCGGUUGGGGAUGGACUCGCGGCUUAUCAGCUUGUUGGUGGGGUAGUGGCUUACCAAGGCUUUGACGGGUAGCCGGCCUGAGAGGGUGACCGGCCACAUUGGGACUGAGAUACGGCCCAGACUCCUACGGGAGGCAGCAGUGGGGAAUAUUGCACAAUGGGCGGAAGCCUGAUGCAGCAACGCCGCGUGCGGGAUGACGGCCUUCGGGUUGUAAACCGCUUUCGCCUGUGACGAAGCGUGAGUGGCGGUAAUGGGUAAAGAAGCACCGGCUAACUACGUG